AUAUUUUAAGAUUUAAGUUGAAUUAGAAUUUUGAAAUUUCAUCACAAAUCAUUUAAUUUCAUAAAAAAGAAUACAAAAAAAAUUAAAAAAAAAGGAAAAAGCCCGGAACCGCCGGUUUUCGGCCCGGCCCGGAACCGCCGGUUCAGGGUCAGAAAACCGGCCCUUUACAUUUCAUCUGGGCCGGUUCAGGUUCGCCGGAUUCUCGACCCUGAACCGCCGGUUCGGGCCCGGAACC
This 235-nucleotide long non-coding RNA is filed under the name Salvia miltiorrhiza (redroot sage). Its description in RNAcentral is "long non-coding RNA (SMIL_LNC013140)". The record is from RNAcentral. Lineage: Eukaryota; Viridiplantae; Streptophyta; Magnoliopsida; Lamiales; Lamiaceae.